This 1119-nucleotide long non-coding RNA is filed under the name Apteryx haastii (Great spotted kiwi). RNAcentral describes it as "lncRNA (ENSAHAG00000011041.1)". The record is from RNAcentral. Lineage: Eukaryota; Metazoa; Chordata; Aves; Apterygiformes; Apterygidae.
GUAGUCUUCCGGCACUGGGCUUCCGGGAGGCCAUGUUGCUUUGCGCAGCAUGCCGGGAGGUAUAGUCUUUUGGCAAUGGUUUUCCCGGUGGCCAUUUUACUCUGCAGGGCAUGCCGGGAGGUGUAGUCUUCCCAUCCUGGGCUUCUGGGAGACCAUGUUGCGCCUCUCGAGGCGGCGGGAGGUGCAGGUCUCUGUCAGCGGGGUUCCCAGGAGCCGGCCGCGUUGUGGUCUGUGGCAGGCCUGGAGCUGUAGUUCCAGGUGCCUUCCCUGUCCUGCAGCAGUGGCCUGCUGUGUCUGUUCCUUACUGGACAUGUGCUGCUCAUACGAGAGUCCCGGUAGGUCACUGGAGACAGUGAAAUUUCCCUGUUUUUCUCUGGUACAGGGCAGGAAGCAUAUUCCAUCUCUGGUGUGACCAGGCAGGGUUGUCCCCAGGGGCUGGGGCUGUCCCUCUUGGCAAUGGCAGAGGCAAGGGGAGUGUGAGGGGCUGUGCAGACUCCUGGUAGCCAUAGCUUUGCUAAGGACUGGGGCUAGUUAGGCCUCAGCUAUGAGGAGCGGCGGUACUGGGAGGGCUCCGUGCAGAGCUGUCCUGCUAUGCAGCACAAAGGAAAGUAGAUUCCUCUUUAGAGCUUUGUUGUGCUGCAUAGACCUCUGUUGGUGCUGUAGAGCCCAGAGGAACCCCUUUAUUUUACUCUGAACUCAUCUUUCAGCCUUCCUUUUGUGCCCAAGCUCUGUUUUGGCCCUUUAGUCCAUGUAGGACCCCUCUAGUCCAUUCAGAACUGCUUCUGGAAACCUUUUUUGCGCCCUAGAGCCCUGUGGUGGUUCUCCUGCCCUCUUAGCACCUCUCUUGUCUCCUUGUGUGCGUCAUUCAUCUAGAAAUACAGAACUCAUGUUCCCCUGGAGAUCUACCCGUACCACCCACCAACCCCUUUUUCUAAUUACUCUAGGUACUAUAUAGAGUUGUGAUCAGUGGCGCAGAGUCUAGUUGGAGGCCUGUAGCUAGCGGUGUCCCCCAGGAGUCAGUCCUGGGUCCAGUCUUGUUCAACUUCUUCAUCAAUGACCUGGAUGAAGGCACAGAGUGCACCCUCAGCAAGUUUGCUGACGAUACCAAACUGGGAGGAG